CUGCAUAUUAUAUAGUAUUCUCUGAAGUUCAUAAGUCAUGCAUAAAAUUCUUCUAACCAUGGGGAUUCUAGGUGACAGAGGUGCGUUGAUUGUAAAACAUUUGAAAGUGAAACACCUAAACUAUUUCCCACAGCAUGUAGCUAUUUCUAAAUUAAUACUUAAACAACUCAUGGAGUUUAUAUAAAAAAACCAAUCAAGAAAUGGGCAGAAGAUCUAAACAGACAUUUCCCCAAAGAAGAUACACAGAUGGACAAAAAACACAUUAAGAGAUGCUGAACAUCACUAAUUAUUGGAAAAAUGCAAAUCAAAACUACAAUGAGGUACCACCUCACACCAAUCAGAAUGGCCAUCAUCAAAAAGUUUACAGACAAUAAAUACUCGAGAGAGUAUGAAGAAAAGAGAACACUUCUUCAUUGCUGAUGGGAAUGUAAAUUGGUGCAGCCACUGUGAAGGGCAGCAUGGAGUUUCCUGAAAAACUACCAUGUGAUUUAGCAAUCCUACUCUGGGGCAUAUAUCCAAAGAAUACCACAUUUCCAAAAGAUUCAUGCACUCCAAUGUUCAUUGCAGCACUAUUCACAAUAGCCAAAAUAUGGAAGCAAUCUAAAUGUCCAUCAGCAGAGAAAUGAAUGAAAAAGAUGUGGUACAUAUAUCCGACAGAAUAUUUUUCAGGCAUAAAAAAAAAUGAAAUAAUGCCAUUUGCAACAACAUGGAUGGACUUAGAGAUUAUCAUACUGAGUGUCAUAGUCAGACAGAGAAAGACAAAUAUCAUAUGAUAUCAAUUAUGUAUGGAAUCUAAUAAAAAUUAUACAAAAGAACUUAUUUAAAACACAGAAACAAAUUUCAAAACCAAUCUUAUGGUUAUUAUAGGUGAAACCAUUGUGGGGAGGGAAGGAUUGGAGAGUGGGAAUGACAUAUAACACACUACUGUAUAAAAUAGAUGAUUAACAAAGACCCAAUAUAUAGCACAGAGGAAUCUACUCAAUAGUUUGUAAUAACCUACAUGGGAAAAAAGAAUGGACUGAUUCACUUUGCUGUACACCUAAAACUAAUACAACAUUGUAAUUCAAUUAUACUCCAAUACAAUUAAAUUAAAGAACUCUUUCUCUGUACCUGGUAAACACUGAGGAGGGUUUAAUUAGGUUAAGAUUGUUGAUGCUUUAGAUCAACCCUGGAGUCCCUUCAUCUAUGUUUCCAUAUAUCUUCUGUGUAUCUGUUCUACUAGUGUAUUUGUGGGUAUUUGUGGGUGUCUGUGUUAUAUGCAGUGGUGUUUGCAACCCCCUAGCAUGUGUUAAGUGAAUAAAUGAGUGAGUGAAUAUCUGAAUAAUUCUAAUCACCUCCAGACUCAGAAAUAGUACAUAUCCAUGUAUUCAUUUCUAAUUACACAAAUGCUUGCCACUUGUUAGAAGGAUCUUUAGCCUUUUUGCGGGAGUGUCCUUGGAGGAUAGCUAUCAGUUAUGGAAGGUCAGAUAAAAGGAGAAGACAUGACAUGACUUAUGUAGGAGACAGGUUCAACAUUUAGUACAGAGCAAGAAUUCAGGGUUCAAUCAGGAACAUAGAAACCUUAAAGACAGGAGAAAAGAUCCAACUGGGCUGAGAAUCAGAUCAGCAAUAGAAUUUGGAAUUGCAUAUAAAAGAAAGCAGAGGCUUUAAACUGAGCUGAGAAAAAGGUAAGGCAGUAAGAAAAACAGGAACUAGAUUUGGUCUUGGGGAUCAGUUAAAAUUGGGAACUAAGACUUUGUUGCAUAGACAAAUAAAGGACCUCGUCAAGAAAUUUGGGACAUGUGUUCCAUAUUUUAGAGGGAUCAUAUUUUAGAAUAAUAGGCAAAAUUUUACAAGGCCUUCUUGAAUUUUUGCUAAUAGCAUUUCAAUUUUUUUCACAUUGAAUGGUAUGAAUAAAAUAGAAUUUUGGGGGGGGGAUAAUUGGAAGCAUGGAAUUUAGAAUUUCAACCAUUUACUGUAAUCUUUAUAAAAUCCUACAAAUUUAAUAAAACAGCACAAACUGCAAAAUAAACUAAUUUUAAAACAUCUAAUUGUCUAAUUCUUUUUCAUCAAUGAAGGAAAGUGGGUUUCGUCUAACAUCAUUUUCCUUAUGUUUGGCUUUGAAAUAAUGUAUUAAGUACUAUACGCAGACAUUUUAAAUUUUAAAAGUUCCAGUGCAUAUGUUCUUCAGUUUUCUUAUAGUAUUCAGUAAAAGUAACAAGAAGAAAUUUUUAAACCCACCUGUUUCUCAGGUAAAAUAUUUUUCUCUUAAAAAUCUGGCAGAUAUCCUUUGGGAUUCCAUUUUAGAACUAGAAGCCACAAUGUAAUAUUAUCAAAGCAAAUUAAUAACUUAAAAUAUAACCAAUUUACAAUGUGAAAAUAAAUUUAAAAUGGAGUGAGGAAACCCUGAAGGGAGAGCUCUCAGGCACAUACCACUCACUACAACCUGUAUAAUCAGUUAGAAGAAGAAAGAUAAGAAUUGUUUUAAUGAGCUCUGUUUGUAUAUAGAAUUCAUUUAUAAAAUUCUCUUGGUCUCAACUUCUUAUGCUUGAUAAGAAUGUUCCAUUUCUUUCAAGGUAGGAUAUUUUUGACAUGGGAAUUACAUCUUCUGUUUUUAAGAAAAGAAAGAUCCUUCCUGCACCAGCAACAAUGUACUAGUCACUGCUUGCAGCCAGAAAUGCCACAACCUUGAGCUCCUGUUCUUCUCCCGUAAACUUUCAGUCCAAACAACGCUCCCCAAUUUCCUCCUAAAGCCUAAUAAAAGCUGACCUUCCCUUUGUCUCUUUAGAAUUGUCUAAGAUUCAACAUUGCUUGCCUGUUCCAAACUGUAAUUCUCUGCUAUUCCUGAAUACACCCAUUUGCUGGUAAAAUAACUGGCUACAUUAUUUUUGAGGUUGGCAACAAUAAUUUUAUACUAAAAUGAAAUUUAACAACACAAAAACAGAAACUAUUGUUCUACAUCACUAUAUAUAUACACGCACACACACAUAUACAUAUUCAAGUUUUUUUUCUUAUUAUGCAGCUAUUUGGCUUAGUCUUAAAUCAAUGUCAAUGUAUAAUAGGUCAAUAGAAAUUUAUAUAAAUUAUUGCUCAAACUCAUCACAAUGUCGGUAGAGUUAAUCAGUGUAAGGAGUUAGUGGUUAAGUUCUUUGUGUUCAGUCUUCUGUAAAAAAUAAAGGAAUGUAUGAUUGAAGGAAGAAAAAGCAAAUAAACAAAAUUUUGAUGUGUAGUACUGAAUAUCAAGAAUAUACCCACAUAGUAAGGAAAGACAAAAAAAAAAAGUCAGAAAGAAAAGAAAUCUGAGUGAACAAUGAAACAAUAAUAAACCUUUGUCUUUUGCUUCAGUUCAAAAUGUGUCCAGAGAAGGUAUCUAAAAACCAUUUUGUGUAAAAUUUUGUUUUUAUUCUACAAACGAGUUAACAAAGACUUCUUUAUGACUAGAAGAAGAUCUUUUGUCCCUUUUCUGUGUGUCCAUCUGUUUCCCUCAGGCUUUAAUUAUAAAAUGAGAUCACUAGGUAACAUUUAAACUAACUCCUGACUUAUGCUCUACUGACUCAACACAAUGCCUUUCCUAACCUAUUGAUUCCUUUCCCAGGUUAAAAGGAGUAAGAACAAAGAAUUAAGUAGUUAGAGAAGAGUGACUAGAUCUCUAAUUCCAGUUUCCCCCUUAGCAAAUCUGCAGGCAGACCACAUGGACAAGACAACAUCCUAAGGGGGAGCAGGGGAAGUCAGCAGAUCUCCAAGCAAUGGAAUAGUGGUGAAGAAUCUGACCUCCUGCUUUAAUGAUUAACUGUGAUUAUUUCCCCUCUUUCCCUUUAAAAAUGUUCAUGGCCAAGAGGAACUGUCAGAGUUGGUUUGGGAUAGGUGUCUGCCUUCUCCCCAGGUUGGUGGCAUCCUGAAUAAAGCAACCUUUUCUUCUUAGGAACAUUUGCCUCUUAAGUAUUGGCUUUUAGGCGGCGAGCAGCCAAACCUAAGUUCAGUAACAUGACACCCUAAAAGUAACUCUAUGGGAGGAAAAACAUCAGAAUAUGACCUCACAUCACUGAUUAAUCUGCCUCUUUGACCUUUAAAUAGUCCAGUGAAUUAGUGUGAACUUCUAGAUCCCCUUACUGAAAUUCUAGAGUUAUCAUCUAUAAUGGCCUUCAAUCUAAUUCAUGAGAAUCAGGCCAACUUCCCCAGUCCUCUGUUUCCCCUAUAUCAAAGGCCGAGAUCAUAUUUCUCAUUGUGUAGCUGGAAUAAGAGGAAGGCUAAUAGGAAAUAUUUACAGUCAUCCAGUAUGGGAUUUCUGAUACUGUGCCUCACCAUCUUAGAGGACAACCAUCAAGAAAACACAGGGGAGAUGAUGGCACUGAAAAGGGACUGAAGUGCCAGUCCUGAUUUCUCUACACUCUUCAUGCCAGUCACACCCUUUUCAGUACACAACAUGUAACAGUUACAGAAACAAUGUCAAGAACCCCUAAUUUGCAGAGCACAUUAAAGAUUAGAUUCCCACACACAUGAUAUUUUUCCCCUAAAACCCUCCCUAUAGCACAAGAAUCCUUGGUGACCUUUUUGGAUGGGGCUGAGCUAGAACAAAAACUUGAAAGGGUUAUGGAGGGACAAAAGAAGGAUCUGUAUCCAGCUGGCCCUCCUACUCCCAGGGCUUUAAAGAAAAUAUUCCUUCUUACCGAGAGAGCUGGAAUUAGAAGUCUGUCAUUCUUUAGUGACCCAUGGUCUACACAUUUUUGUAGACCCCUGAUCAACCCUCACUAGAAGUGAGCUGCCUUCCCAUGAGCUACCUAGUGGGGAAGUACUUGCCCCUGCCCUACCCUGCAGCCACUUCCAGUAAGGGGUGGGCAGCCUGCAGAGUCAGCCCAGCUGAGGAGCAGCAACCCUGCCAUCCUGUGCAAGAGCUUUCUCUGUCUGCAUUCUGAUACAUCCUGUUUAUGUACUUUAUUACAAAUCUUUAUCAUAAUUAACUAGAUCAUUUUAUUUUCUGAUUUUUUCCCAAUACAAAUCUGUAACAAUAGAGACAUUAAAAGACUGCACUCUGUCCAUAUAUCUCUUGAUUUUGUGAAAAUACAUAUUUUUUAAAAGUAUAUUUGAUUCACAAUGUUGUGCCAAUUAUUGUUGUACAGAAAAGUGACUCAGUGUUACAUAUGUAUACAUACUUUAUUUUUAUAUAUUAUUUUCCAUCAUGGUCUAUUCCAGAAGAUUGGAUAUAGUUCCCUGUGUUAUAUAGUAGCACCUUUUGGUCUAUCCAUUCCAAAUGUAAUAGUUCUCAUUUACUAACAUCAAACUCCCAGUCCAUCCCACUCCUUCCCCCCUACACCUUGGAAAUCACAAUCUCUUCUCCAUAUCUGUGAGUCUGUUUCUAUUCUGUAGAGAAGUUCAUCUGUGCCAUAUUUUAGAUUCCACAUAUAAGUGAUAUCAUAUGGUAUUUGUCUAUUUCUGACUUCACUUAGUGUGAGAAUCUCUAGUUGCCUCAUGUUGCUGCAAAUGGCAUUAUACUUUUUUCUUUUAUGGCUGAGUAAUAUUCCACUGUGUAUAUAUAACAUAUCGUCUUAAUCUAAUCAUCUUUCAAUGGACAUUUAGGUUGUUCCCAUGUCUUAGCUAUUGUAAAUAGUGCUUCAAUGAACAUCCAAGUGCAUAUAUUUUUUUGAAUUAUGGUUUACUCCAGAUAUAUGCCCAGGAAUGGGAUUACUGGAUCAUAUGGUAGUUCAAUAUUUAGUUUUCUGAAGAAGCUCCAUAUUGUUUUCCAUAGUGAUUAUACCAAUUUACAUUCCCACCAACACUGUAGAAGGGUUCCCUUUUCUCUAUGCCCUGUCCAGCAUUUCUUGUUUGUAGAUUUAUUAAGGUUACAGUGGGGGAAUUUAUGUCUGAAGACAUGUUUGGGUGUCAAAACUGGGGAGAGUAAGGCCCUACAGGAAUACUUUAAAUAUUGCAUUAUGGAAUUCAUUUGCAUUGUAAAAUAUUUGACAGUCACCCCCCCAUAAUAAACGUGUAUCUGACCAGAAAUGUUAAUAAUGCAGGGCUGAGAAGUGCCAGGUUAUAGAAACACCUGUUUGUCAUUACUGGC
This 6037-nucleotide long non-coding RNA is filed under the name Sus scrofa (pig). RNAcentral describes it as "lncRNA (ENSSSCG00015009119.1)". Lineage: Eukaryota; Metazoa; Chordata; Mammalia; Artiodactyla; Suidae. The record is from RNAcentral.